This 397-nucleotide ribosomal RNA is filed under the name uncultured bacterium. Its description in RNAcentral is "partial 16S ribosomal RNA". It matches the Rfam family "Bacterial small subunit ribosomal RNA", at positions 523 to 918 of the family's 1533-position model. The record is from RNAcentral.
AUACGUAGGUGACAAGCGUUAUCCGGAUUUAUUGGGCGUAAAGGGCGUGUAGGCGGUCUUGCCAGUCAGAAGUGAAAUUCCUGAGCUCAACCCGGGCGCUGCACCUGAUACUGCUGAGCUAGAGUACGGGAGUGGUUAGGGGAAUUUCCGGUGUAGCGGUGAAAUGCGUAGAUAUCGGAAGGAACACCUGUGGCGAAAGCGGCUCACUGGGCCAUUACUGACGCUGAGGCACGAAAGCUAGGGGAGCAAACAGGAUUAGAUACCCUGGUAGUCCUAGCCCUAAACGAUGAUUGCUUGAUGUGGCAGGUACCCAAUCCUGCCGUGUCGAAGCUAACGCGAUAAGCAAUCCGCCUGGGGAGUACGGUCGCAAGGCUGAAACUUAAAUGAAUUGGCGGGG